UGGAAGCAUCGUCUCCACACAGCAGCUCAACUCUACUGGUGACCUCAAAAUGCGAUGAGGGGGGGGACUUCGCCUCGAGAUGCGAAAUGGAGAGAAAGCUGGUUUGCUUCGGGGUCCGGGUUUGGGCCCGUAGGAGAGUCCGACGGUUCGGAUAACGUUGGAGCGCAGGACAGACCUGGCGGCUGCGGUGGCGGACAUGGCUAUUGGGAUUGCUUAGGGUAGGGUUGUGGAAGCAAUCGAGAACUUGGCUUGGGUUCAGGGGUUUGACUGUACACAUUGGGC
RNAcentral lists this unclassified non-coding RNA (282 nucleotides) under Hevea brasiliensis (rubber tree). Lineage: Eukaryota; Viridiplantae; Streptophyta; Magnoliopsida; Malpighiales; Euphorbiaceae. The record is from RNAcentral.